CAACAACGCCAGAGCCGGGAGCUGUGUCUGUGACCUACACCACAACUCAUGGCAAUGCCAGAUCCUUAACCCACUGAGCGAGGCCAGGGAUAGAACCUGCAACUUCAUGGUUCCUAGUUGGAUUUACUUCCACUGCACCACAACGGGAACUCCACAAGCCAGUGAUUUUGUAGACUCUUUCUCUAUUUGGGUUUGCCUAAUGUUUCUUUAUCAGGAAUCUGAUUAGAUUUAGAUUAUACAUUUUCGGCAGGAAUCCUACCAAAGUGGUGUCAUAUUUUCCUCAUGCAUCAUAUCAGGGUGCCUUAAAGAGUUCAAAGUGAUAAUAGGAGACACCCGUUUAUCACAGCACCCACCGAUACCUAUCAUAUUUAGGAACAUGAUACCCAUCCCCUGGAACAACUCUCCAAACAAAAUAGUGGCAUCACUCAAACAAACUCAGGUAUUUAUUUGGAUCGCCAAACAAACUCAGAUAUUUGUAUAAUCCAGACCCAUCUUCUGCCAAAGAUCAUGGAAAGAUUUGUUUCUGCCUGAGGCAAGUGGGGAAGAUGACAUAAAUUUUGGUUUCUUUCUCUCUAGGGUGCUAAUCACGCUGUGUCAUCCACCUGAUUUGUGAGUGUAAAUUUAAUGUGCAGAGACUUCUAUUCAGGAGAUUAAUGGUGGUUCUACAUGUGCUCUAUAAGGGAAAAAGCACACAGAAAACUGCAUUCUCCUUUUAAACUCGGUCCACUUUCUCCUUACAUGUCUUAAGGUCUUGUAAUGGUGGCAUUCACAGCUGCUUGAUCUUCUUGGAGUUGGCUUUCUUUCUUUCUUUCUUUCUAGGAUAUCCAAAAUUCUUUAAAACCCCUUUUACCCGUAAGCCUUAAGUUUCUGCCACUCCAGUACUGAACAGGAUCAUGGCAUCUUAUCACUUUUAAGCAGGUGCUUUUAGUCUGGUGCUAAAAUGACUACCGCUGCUAUUUCCUGACACAGCAUCACCUGAGCUUAUAAAACCCCUCCUCAUAGGAAAAGUUUCCACUUCAUUCUUGAUUGAGAUUUUGCUAAAGGAUCACCCUCAACAGGUUCUGUUAAUGUUUCUGAUGUUUAAACUCCUGGUGGUAUCAGAAGAACACUUUCGCCGUGCUUUCUUUUCUGAUACUUGGCCCUUCCUCGACUUUUAAGGUUUCUGGAUUUGAAUAAUAACUUAGGUUUACUUCAAUGGCUCCUAAAAUAUUUAACAUUUUUGUUGAUAGCAGCAGAAUAUGGAUACAUUUCUAAUGCCCUCUUUAGUUCUGUCAAUCCACUAUCACCUUGGGGGAACUCUGUUGAGAUUCCCACAUAAAAUCCUGUCUCUUCCUCUCUUCCGCAGGUAGAGCUGGGAGGAAUUGCUGGAUAUGAGGACUUGUGUUCUCACUAGCUUUCCUAGUGCUUUCUGGCCCCCACUUUAAGGUUACUUUUAUUUCUUAGGAGCUUAUUUCUCGAGAUUGUGUCCUGUUUCAUCCUCUAUUCUAAAGAGAUGGGACAGUGAUCAUUUGGGGUUUGCCCAAAGAAUUCACUGUGUAAACAAAUCAUCCAAACUCAACUUUCUGAGGUGGAAACAUUCAGACAGGGACUUACUCACUCUGCUGAAUAACUAGACCUCAGCCUGGUUUAUUCUUGCCUAGCCUGGCUCCUCUGUAGUAUGUUUCAAGCUUCUUUAUUUCCAUGGAGUGCUAACUCCAUAAAUUUCUUAAGCUCAUUCCCUCUGGACACAGAGAAUAUCACUAUCUUUUUCUGUGGAAGCUCAUCCACGUGGUAGAGCUUACGAUCAUGGACACUGAUCCUGGUCUUUCACAUCUCCCCAUUCCCUCCUCCUUUUUAAAAAACAAAAAACAACCAAAAAAAAAAAACUAAAAACAAAAACCGAUUUAAUGAAAUAGUAUUGUUAUUCCCACUUUUUUUUUUUUUUGGUCUUUUUGCCUUUUCUAGAGCCACUCCCGCGGCAUAUGGAGGUUCCCAGGCUAGGGGUCGAAUUGGAGCUGUAGCCACCCGCCUACGCCAGAGCCACAGCAACGCGGGAUCCGCGUCUGCAUCCAACACCACAGCUCAUGGCAAUGCCGGAUCCUUGACCCACUGAGCAAGGGCAGGGAUGGAACCUGCAACCUCAUGGUUCCUAGUCGGAUUCGUUAACCACUGAGCCACGACGGGAACUCCUCCCUUCUCCUUUUAACUGUUUUUCAAGAAAUGGCUCCAUUGUUUAUUCAGCCUCUAUCUACAACUUGAAGAGGUAUUUCUGAAUGGUUUCUCUAGGACCCUUGAGAGGCACCACCUCAGUCUCUCACUGAGAUAUUGUCUCUUUGCUGGUAGAUUUAUUUUGACCUUAGAUAUACUUAUCUAAUGACAAGAAAAAUGCCUGGCCUUUUCCAAGUUUCCGUAUUAAAAGUAGUUCAACCCGAUGCAUCCGUUUUCCCUUUCAAAUAUAUUUAGACGGGCUUCCAAUAACUAAUUUCCUGUAGAUAUCCAUCUUAUCUACGUGUCAAGCUUUCUCAGUGAGAUCUCUCUCCUCUUUCAGCCUCAUCAUGCUCUGUCUUUUUAUUUUUCUUUUAUUACUUCAUUGCUCUGAUUCUGGUACUUAGGGUAAAAUUUAGAUCUUUUUCCCCCUAGUUCCUCCUUGACUUCCGGAACAGAACUGACUCUUUGAGAGACUGUUCCACCUAUAGGCCUUUCUUACCAUCUUUAUUGAUGUAUUAGCAUUGGAUUUGCAACAAAAAUACAGGUAGCUGCUUUUCUAAGUUCAAAAAAAGCCAAUAGCCUGUUUAUAAUAAAGGCUCCCAUUCCUUUUUAAUAAAUAUUUCCACCCUCUUGUAAACAGAAGCACAGUCAAGGACGCUGAUAUUUUUCAAUCCUAUUCAAAGUCUAUGUAAUUAACCUCUCUGGAGCCAAUUUCAGACCAUUUGGUGAGGGUUUAAACUUUUAGCCAUGACAAAGCCCAUGAGUCAAAGAGCUGUGCCCUAGUCCAGUUCUUUCCAUUGGCUCUAAGCUGUGUUCAAAAUAACAUAGAAAGGAACAGCACUUGGAUGCUGGAUCUAGUUUUGCCUACUAUGCCUGGCAGGAACCAUACUGGUGCUUUGUGGAAGCCAGCUGCCUCUGCAGCGUCACAUCCCAUAUUGCAGAUACAGCUGAAUCACCAAAUAAAAGCAGCAAAAUAUGGCUCAAUCUUCCCAUACCACGAGUCCAAACCAAGAGGCCUAGAUACUACAAUUCUGCCAGUCUGUAAUAAUUUAGACGCGUAAUAAAAGUCUUACUCUUCAUUCCAACACUGAGUUUCAUUUGCUCAACUAAAAUCUAUUUCUGCUCAGAUCAAGCAGUAUCACCUGCAGCAGCUUGGUCUCCGACGCCUGUUAUUUCUCACUAAGCUCAAGAAGCCUGGUUUCCUAUUAAACAUUUUCUCUGUGUCUACAGAAACCAGACACACAAAAACCCAACAAGCAAACAAACUAGACACAAUUAACACCUCUUACCUGCCAGAGAGGUCCCCGUCCUAGGUUGUAACAGCAGCCUUCAAAUCUGCGCCAUCUUGUUCCCCAAAUGCCGGUUUUUUAAAAGCUGCAGACUAAGGCCCACAAUGUUGGUAGGUUCAGGGAACCAAAAAAUAAUGCUCUUUUUUUCUCCUCCUGAGUUUGCACUGAUUGAGAGUGAGGCACUCUAGUUAGAGUGAUCCUUAAAAGUUAGCACUGCCAACUUUCUUAUGGAUAAAGCUGAAUGGAGUCACAAUGGGCUUUCUAAUAUUCACCCCUGAAUUAUUGAGCUCAUCCGACCAAGUCCAUAGCAUAGAAGGGAAAGCCUCGGGCCUCCCCCAAAAGGCAGAACCCACAUACUCAAGUAGCUUUGCAGUCAAGACAAACACCUCUGAAGGCCGGCAGAUCCUGAUGAAAAAGCCCGAGGUGGUUAAACCAAGCUUGUUCUGUUCUUGCUCUUAAAUUCACCAAUCAGAUAGCUCACCUGUUCUCCUUUGGGAAAGAAUUCGGGAGUAGGAAGGAGUAGGAAAAGCCGUAAAUAGUCUAAUAAUUUUCUCUCCCAGGCCAUGAGGUAGAAAAAUCUCCUCCAUGUAUGGAAAUGUGGCUCCUGAGAAAUAUAAAUUUUUGCCUCUAACAGACAUCUCAUAAUAUUGUAACAGUAAAAUAAAGGGAAGGCCUAUUUCUCUACUCUUCACAUUUUCGUUGGGGAGGGACUUCCCAGAGAGUAACGCCACUCAUUUUCCCCACCUGAAAGGGUUGAGU
This 4235-nucleotide long non-coding RNA is filed under the name Sus scrofa (pig). RNAcentral's name for it is "lncRNA (ENSSSCG00040032536.1)". Lineage: Eukaryota; Metazoa; Chordata; Mammalia; Artiodactyla; Suidae. The record is from RNAcentral.